GGAUAGCUCAGCCGGUUAGAGCGUGGUGCUGAUAAUGCCAAGGUCACAGGUUCAAUCCCCGUAAGGAACA
Molecule: non-coding RNA, 70 nt
Organism: Podarcis lilfordi (Lilford's wall lizard)
Lineage: Eukaryota; Metazoa; Chordata; Lepidosauria; Squamata; Lacertidae
Source: the annotation of a GenBank genome assembly